Molecule: ribosomal RNA, 495 nt
Filed under: uncultured bacterium
Lineage: Bacteria
Description: partial 16S ribosomal RNA
Rfam family: Bacterial small subunit ribosomal RNA
Source: RNAcentral
GACGAACGCUGGCGGCGUGCCUAAUACAUGCAAGUAGAACGCUGAAGGAGGAGCUUGCUCUUCUGGAUGAGUUGCGAACGGGUGAGUAACGCGUAGGUAACCUGCCUGGUAGCGGGGGAUAACUAUUGGAAACGAUAGCUAAUACCGCAUAACAGUAGAUGUUGCAUGACAUUUGCUUAAAAGGUGCAAUUGCACCACUACCAGAUGGACCUGCGUUGUAUUAGCUAGUUGGUGGGGUAACGGCUCACCAAGGCGACGAUACAUAGCCGACCUGAGAGGGUGAUCGGCCACACUGGGACUGAGACACGGCCCAGACUCCUACGGGAGGCAGCAGUAGGGAAUCUUCGGCAAUGGACGGAAGUCUGACCGAGCAACGCCGCGGGAGGGAAGAAGGGUUUCGGAUCGUAAAGAUCUGUUGUAAGAGAAGAACGAGUGUGAGAGUGGAAAGUUCACACUGUGACGGUAUCUUACCAGAAAGGGACGGCUAACUACGUG